RNAcentral lists this ribosomal RNA (425 nucleotides) under uncultured bacterium. RNAcentral's name for it is "bacterial SSU rRNA". It matches the Rfam family "Bacterial small subunit ribosomal RNA", at positions 358 to 774 of the family's 1533-position model. The record is from RNAcentral.
AGAAUAUUCCGCAAUGGGCGAAAGCCUGACGGAGCGACGCCGCGUGGACGAUGAAGGCCGGAAGGUUGCAGAGUCCUUUGGCGCGCGAGGAAGGAGGGGAGGAAUGGAAAGCCUCCCCGGUGACUGUAGCGCGAGAACAAGCACCGGCUAAUUACGUGCCAGCAGCCGCGGUAACACGUAAGGUGCGAGCGUUGUUCGGAAUCAUUGGGCGUAAAGGGCAUGUAGGCGGCAUGGUAAGUCGGGCGUGAAAUGACGGGGCCCAACCCCGUCGCUGCGCCCGAUACUGAAGUGCUUGAGUCAGCGAGGCGGAGGCGGAAUUCCUGGUGUAGGGGUGAAAUCUGUAGAUAUCAGGAAGAACACCGGUGGCGAAGGCAGCCUCCGAGCGCAUGACUGACGCUGAGGUGCGAAGGUGCGGGGAGCGAACA